RNAcentral lists this ribosomal RNA (312 nucleotides) under Triticum aestivum (bread wheat). RNAcentral's name for it is "partial small subunit ribosomal RNA". The record is from RNAcentral. Lineage: Eukaryota; Viridiplantae; Streptophyta; Magnoliopsida; Poales; Poaceae.
AUGUUUAGAUAUGUUGGAGUGCUCGCCUGGAUAAUGAUGAGAGGUGAAGAGACGCACAAAAGGAACCUGUGGUCUGAAAGAGCUAAUUUGCAGAAAUUUCAUCCACCCGUCAAACUGCAAAUCAGUGUUUGGUUGUACCAAUGCUUCCUGAAAUACAUGCAAGCAUAUCUACUCAGAAGGGGAAAAGCAGGAGUUGAAUCAUCAAUAGGAAUCUGCCAUGUAAUUGAUCUUAUUGGCUCAGAAAGAAAAUUGGCUGUUGGUCACAGUUGUUUACCAAGUAUACUAUUUUUUUGCCUACAAAAACUUCUAUGA